This 73-nucleotide transfer RNA is filed under the name Amborella trichopoda. It matches the Rfam family "tRNA". Rfam says of the family: Transfer RNA (tRNA) molecules are approximately 80 nucleotides in length. Their secondary structure includes four short double-helical elements and three loops (D, anti-codon, and T loops). Lineage: Eukaryota; Viridiplantae; Streptophyta; Magnoliopsida; Amborellales; Amborellaceae. The record is from Rfam by way of RNAcentral.
GUCGGGAUACCUCAGCUGGUAGAGUAGAGGACUGAAAAUUCUCGGGUCACCAGUUCAAAUUUGGUUCCUAGCA